GAUGAACGCUAGCUACAGGCUUAACACAUGCAAGUCGAGGGGUAGCAGGGUAGCAAUACCGCUGACGACCGGCGCACGGGUGAGUAACACGUAUCCAACCUUCCCAUAACUCGGGGAUAGCCUUUCGAAAGAAAGAUUAAUACCCGAUAGUACUUUUUCAAGGCAUCUUGAGAAAGUUAAAGAUUUAUUGGUUAUGGAUGGGGAUGCGUUCCAUUAGAUAGUUGGUGAGGUAACGGCUCACCAAGUCUUCGAUGGAUAGGGGUUCUGAGAGGAAGGUCCCCCACAUUGGUACUGAGACACGGACCAAACUCCUACUGGAGGCAGCAGUGAGGAAUAUUGGUCAAUGGGCGAGAGCCUGAACCAGCCAAGUAGCGUGAAGGAUGAAGGUCCUAUGGAUUGUAAACUCCUUUUAUAGUAGAAUAAAGUGAUCCACGUGUGGAUUUUUGUAUGUAUACUAUGAAUAAGGAUCGGCUAACUCCGUGCCAGCAGCCGCAGUAA
This 498-nucleotide ribosomal RNA is filed under the name uncultured bacterium. RNAcentral describes it as "partial 16S ribosomal RNA". It matches the Rfam family "Bacterial small subunit ribosomal RNA", at positions 28 to 523 of the family's 1533-position model. The record is from RNAcentral.